CAUAAAUAAUCGCAAUUUUAAAAAAUUCGGGUUGAGGCUGCACGCAGGCUAUAGUGGUAUUUUAUAUUUAUAUUAGAGAGGUAUGCUGUCGCCUGUAUGCAGUGGGUACGUUUAUUAUUCAGGACUAGCAGACGUCUAGUUGGUACAGAUUUGGAUGGCAACAAAUACUAUGAAGUACUUCAAGGUAUAAAUGUAUAAGCUGUACGUGGAUAUUUAUUGGACACCGGAUUAAGUCCGGUGUCCCAG
Non-coding RNA from Paramuricea clavata, 246 nucleotides. Lineage: Eukaryota; Metazoa; Cnidaria; Anthozoa; Malacalcyonacea; Plexauridae. The record is from the annotation of a GenBank genome assembly.